This 396-nucleotide long non-coding RNA is filed under the name Linum usitatissimum (flax). RNAcentral describes it as "long non-coding RNA (LUSI_LNC005631)". The record is from RNAcentral. Lineage: Eukaryota; Viridiplantae; Streptophyta; Magnoliopsida; Malpighiales; Linaceae.
UCCGAUCACCAUAUGAACUCGUUGGUUUUGAGGUAGCAUUCGUAUGGCUGUUUAUUUAUGAGGACGGUGGGUUCUAUUAUGUAAGUGCAUUGAUUCUUCUCUUUUCUUUUCUCGGAUAAUUUUGAAGACCCUUCUAUUUUAGUCGGUAAAACUCUAAUUUAUAUGUCGUUUUAGGUAUCAUCGAUCUUUUCAGUGUUUUGAAUCUCAACAGAAUUGGUACAUUGUAGGAAAUUUCUUAUGAUGUGUUUGAGUCCUUGAUUGCAGUGGCAGAUACAAGGGCCUCCACUAAACCCUGACCGAGUCCACCUUCAAAUUUAUAGGUUGGUUAGCAUAUUUUAUACUCAGUAUAAACCAUUUUUAACUUUUAUAAGAUCCGACCAAGUUCAUUGGACGGCU